UACGGAGGGUGCAAGCGUUGUUCGGAAUUACUGGGCGUAAAGCGCGCGUAGGCGGCUUAGUAAGUUGGGAGUGAAAUCCCGGGGCUUAACUCCGGAAUUGCUUUCAAAACUACUAAGCUAGAGUAUGGUAGGGGACAGUGGAAUUCCUAGUGUAGAGGUGAAAUUCGUAGAUAUUAGGAGGAACACCGGUGGCGAAAGCGACUGUCUGGGCCAUUACUGACGCUGAGGCGCGAAAGCGUGGGGAGCAAACAGG
This 253-nucleotide ribosomal RNA is filed under the name uncultured bacterium. RNAcentral describes it as "partial 16S ribosomal RNA". It matches the Rfam family "Bacterial small subunit ribosomal RNA", at positions 524 to 776 of the family's 1533-position model. The record is from RNAcentral.